AAGAUGCAUUAUCAUGGCUGUAAACACAGGUUCUGCACGUGUCUAAGUUCAGCCCCAAACCCACAUGAAGAACUUAUUUCCAGACAGCUCCUACUCUUAUGGUGGCUCCAGACCCUGCCCCAUGCAGAAGGCACUUCUCAAGUUCCAGGACCAGGGCUUCAGCCACAGCACUCGGGUGUAGAGGCAAGCACUGAAGGCCCAUGAUCAGCCGUGGGAGCCACGGGAAUCAAUUGCUUCCAGUACGACUGGAUGCAUCGGAAAGAGCCUGGGGCAAGGCUGGAGGCCACAAGAGGAGCUGCCAGGCCACAUAAGCAGGGAACAAAGCCGAUGAUCACACGCCCAUCAGUGAGCCAACUUGGUGAAGGGAAAUGCCCAAGUUCUCAGCACCUGCAGAGCCUAAGACAUAACAAGCAGCAUGCCCUGACGCUCACCAAGGCCAGGUGCUGUGGUGAGUGCUCUACCUGUUUCUGUACAGAAGAGAAAUCAGAAUGCCAGAGACAUGAAGAAACUUCUCCAGGGUCAUGUAAUCACCAAAUAAUGUCUGCUUCGACCAUCUCUGCAUUUUGUGCUACACCAAGAUUUAAGCAGCUGUUCAAAGGAACUGUAGAACAGAUGUCACAGAUGUAACUAUUCUUGAAAGGAAGUCAGAUUUCAUAGAUGGAAAGACUGCCCUUUUCCAUUUGCCUCCUCCAGACCCAUAACUUUGGAUAGGGGGGUUUUAUUGUCCGUGAGGCUUAUGCAUAUGUCAGAAGAAUGUCCAAGCAGAGGAAUCUAAGUGGCAGACCCCCCAGGAUAGGAAAGAAGAAGGACGCUCGUGCUGACACUUCCAGAACACUCUUCACGUUUUGUGACAUAUGUGCUUGUCGAGUGAUCUUAAGACAGCUGGAUGUCCGAACCAUGCAGUAAUAGCAGAGAACCUGCGGAAGGAGAAGCUUCCCAGGACGUUCUGAGGGCUUAUGCCGGGUGCAGGCUUUCCUUCCCGCAACAUCCCUGAGUCCAGAGAAGAAAUAAUCCCCUGCCCUGUGGGCCAAGCACUUACAGCAACAGCACUUUGAGUUUGCUGUGCUUAGAUUCACUUGUGGAACUUGUUAAAAAUAUAAAAUUCCAGACCCCACCUCC
RNAcentral lists this long non-coding RNA (1119 nucleotides) under Homo sapiens (human). RNAcentral's name for it is "long independently transcribed non-coding RNA 2914, transcript variant 3 (LINC02914)". Lineage: Eukaryota; Metazoa; Chordata; Mammalia; Primates; Hominidae. The record is from RNAcentral.